AAAACAAUUUGCUUAAUUAAUUUAGUAACAACGCUCAAGCACUACAACAAAAAUGAUCUAUAGCGACACUUUUAAAUGUAGGUACAUGUCAAAAAAGUGCUGCUAGCUAAAAUUACCGACACUUUAAAAAAAUGUUGCUAUAUGUGGGGUCGCUAGGUAUAUAGUGAUAGUUAAAGAGUGUUGCUAUAACCUAAAAGAGUGCUGCUAAUUUACCAACACUUAUUUAAGUAUUUAGCAACCGCCGAAACUCUAUCUCGUUUGCUGCGGUGACGGAGGAGGACGACAGGAAAUGCUCUUCGUCUAGAAUUUCAGUAGAUUGAGUGAAGAGAGAAGAAAAAAUGGUAAUUGAUUUUUCUUUUUUUUUGCUUUUCUGUUUGUAAUCGGGUCAAAUGGACUGGGUGCGGUGGGUUGAGUAGAGUAAUCUUUUAUUUUUUAUUGGAUUAGGCUUUAUAUUUAGGCAUAAGUAGAUGUUUUUUUAAGUUUUAGCAUAAAUGAGACACUUACUUAAAAGUGUCCCAAAUAUGUGUCCCUAUAACCUAAUUCUGUUGUAGUGAUUUUUGGACUGGAUUUUAGUCUAAUAAAGAAAACUAAUGGGGGCCAGCAAAACCAUUUUCUUUUUUACAAACAAAAUAGAUAAAAACUCAAUAAGUGAAAAAAAAAUAUAGAAACAAAUGUUGAAAAACUCAUAAUUUUAGCAAUUAGACUUCAUAAAUUUUAUCAAAUAGUUUCGUUUUGUAUUGUAUAUAACCUUGCAAUUAAUUGUUUGAAAUACAAAAAAAAACAUAUUCUUCUACUCUGGAGCAUGAAAAUGUAAUACAAAUUGAGGAUACUUUCACUCUAUUAUUCAAUCGUGAUGCUUAAUUAUGACCAAUAGAUCGAAUAGGAAAAAAAAAGAAUGUUUUCCUUUUUUUGAACUCUGAAAGUGAUAUAAAAUCAUGUGCAAGGCAUGUAAUGAAAACAAUUUGCUUAAUUAAUUUAGUAACAACGCUCAAGGGGAGUGCCCUAUGUAUAUAUCAAACCGUUCGAUAAAACUUAGGAGGUCUAAUUGCGCAGAUUAAAUAUUUAGGGGUUCUAUUUGCAAAACUGUUGAUGUUCAAGGGACUUUGUUCAUAUUUUUAUUUUAUUAGUAAACUUAUAAACUUUUAAUUUUAGCAAUUUUUUUUCUUAACUUUAUCAACUACUCUAAUAGACUUCUUUGCUCAAUUAGAAUUACUAAUUAUGCAGUCCUUUUGGUUUUCAUAGUUGGCAUAAAACCAAAUUAAAUAAAGUUUUAAGAUACAAAAAAAUUUACUUUUUUUAUUCUAAUGUAUAAAGGUUACAUAAGAAGCAAUGGUGCAAAUUAAAAAAUAAGGGUAAACUUUAAAUAUCACCCCUUUGAUUUCACACUUUCUUAUUUUACUAUCCUGUGGUUUAAAGUGUAUCAAUUUAGUACUCUAUAGUUUCAAAUUUUUUUUUUUCGUCAACUCUUCCGUUAGUAUUUUAUUAAAUUAUAUACAAAAAAUUUCAGAUACCCCACUUAGGUUAUCGAAUAUUCACUUUAGUAGGCAUCUUUUAGUUUUAAUUUUGUCAUUGAUUUAACGAAAAAAAAAAUAGUGGAGUGAAUAAUAAAAAAAAAAGAUAAAACUACCGGUUACUAAAUUUAUAUAUUUUAAAUCACAUAAUGAUACUAAAAUAUAAAAAUACGAAUGGUAUUUGAAGAUUUUCUAAAAAAAAAAUAAAGGCCAAUUUGCAUAAAAAAAUCCCUUACUUGACUUUUGCAAAACCGCGCGCCACCUUUUUCGCUUUACGCAGAUUCGUGUCCACUUUUCAGCAAACUGACCAAAAUACCUUUUUUACUUUUUCUCUUCCUACUUCUCCUCCUCUUCGUUUCUCGUCCUUCUUUUUUUUCUCGCCGGCAGACGCGGAGGCGAAACGGUCCGUCUCACCUCUCACACCUCAUUCGCCUAGCCCUCGCCCUCUCGCCAUCCGCCCCUUGCCCUCCCGUCCAACAGACCCCCCACUUCCUCGCCUCCACCCCCCAAAGGCCGCCACGACUUUUUUUUUUUUUUUGGCUUUUUUUCUUUCUUUAUCUUCUCCGACCUCUCCAACGUCUCCGACGACGAUGCUUCUCUCGUCCUUCUCAUUCUUCCCGCCCUCUCAUCUCUCCCUCCCAUCAUUCCUCCUGCCGCCUCCGACGACAUGCUAUCUCGCCGGCGCCGACGUCGACACCGUAGAGGUCACUCUGCGGCGUUACAGGCACGACGCGGGGUCUUAGCGGUGUCGCGCGGCGCACCGUGGCUGUUGCAGAGAAGCGGUGACAAAAAAAUUAAUAGAAAAACAAAAAAAAAAAUAAAGAUAAAAAAUUAUAUAAAAAAGAAGAUGAACAUCAAAUGUAUCGUAACCUGCAAAAAAAUUAGUAAGUUGUACUAUUUAAGAUGUACAACUGCAGUUAAGAUGAACGAACACACUCUUUAAACGAAAUAACACUCUUUGAAAAAAUUUUCACACUAUUUCUCUUCUUAUACACCUUCAGAUUAAACUGCACCAUUAUAUAAAGUUACACUCUAUUAAACAAAAGUUGCACUGUCUCUCCCUCUUUUGUACUAUUUCCUCUGUAAACUAUUUUUUAUCUCUAAACCUGACACCUUUAAGAGAUAAUUUAGUACUGUUCUCCCUCUUAUUGCACAAUUUCUGUGUAAUAAUAGAGGAAAAUAGGGCAACAAGAGAAAAACGUGCAAGAGAGAAAAAACGCACGUUUUAAAGAGAUAAUAUAUCUUUUCCUCCCUCUUGUUGCAUCCAUUUCUUGUAAACAAGAAGGAAAAUAGUGCAACAAGUAAGGAGAAACUGCACCUGUUCUUUAAGAGAUAUAAUCAACUGUUUCUUCUCUUGUUGCACUGUUUUCUCCUUGUGCAACCAUUUUUUGUGUAACAAUAGUGAAAAUAGUAAAACAAGAGGAGAACAAUCAAUAAGAGGAAAAACAUGCAAUAAGAGGAAGAACUGAACCCUUUUAAGAAAGAUAUUAUCACUGUUUCCCCUCUUGUGCACUGUUUCUCCUCUUUUUGUGCAGCCAGUUUCUGUAUAAAUAAGAGGCAGAAAGUACGUGCAAACAGAAGAAACAGUGCAACGAAGAGGAAAACAGUAUAAAUACUAUCAACUUAAAAGGAUCAGUUAAAAUAAAAAAUAGUAUAAUUUUCGUUCAAAUAUCAUAAUUUUUAUCUUAAAGCAGCAAGUUUACUACUUAAUAGUGCACUUUAAUUUUUUUGUAAUUAAGAGUAAUUUAUUUCAUCCUUCUUUAUAUAAUCCUUUAUCUUUAUUUUUUUACUUUUUCUAAUAAUUUUUUUUCACCUCUCUGCCAACAGCUACGCCGCGCGUGACGCGCCGGUGACGACGCCUGCUAAGGACCCCCCGUCACGGCUGAUACGCGCGUGACCUCUACGGUCGUGACGUCGCGCGCGGCGAAAUAAAUCGUCGUCGAGGUGGCAGAAAAUGAAGGAGAGGGAGAGAUGAGAAGGGCGGGGAAGGGCGAGAGGCGUCGUCGUCGGAGACGGUGGAGAAGAGUCGGAGAAAAAAAGAAAAGAAAAAAGCAAAAAAAAAAAAAGUCGCGGCGCGGUUUUAACGGGGUCGGAGGCGAGGAAGGUGGGGGGUGCAUGGACGAGGGCAAGGGCGAGGGCGAGAAUAUGAGGGUGAGAGGCGAGACGGACCGUUUCUGCCUCCGCUCCGCCUCCGCUCUACUGGCGAGAAAAAAAAAAGAACGAGAGAAACGAAGAAGAGAGAGAAAGAGGAAAGAGAAAAAGUAAUAAGGGUAUUUUGGUCAGUUUGCUGAAAAAGCGGACCGAAUCUGCAAAAAUAAAAAAGGUGACCCGAUUUUGCAAAAGCCUAAAAUAGGUGGAUUUUUUAUGCAAAUUGGCCAAAAAUAAAACGUGAGUUCUUAAAAUACAAUGCGCGUACGUGCACGUGCAUGCAUGCCCACGCAUUAUGUCCCCAUGAUAGGGAGCACAGCGUUGCCAAUUGAUAACGACUCUCCACAUGGCCCAAUUGAAAAGCGACACGUGUCACAAACAACUCCCAUGCACGUGCGGCGGCGCCGGUAAAAGAAAAAAUAAGGGUGAAAAAAUUGCACGAGGACCAAUUCGGCAUAUUAUGUACUAAUAAUAAAAAUGAGCUGUGAACUUCAAAAAGUAAAUAUUUAAUUUGUAAAAAUAAGUUGGUAUAUAUCCAAAAAUUAUAUCUUUUGAUAUGCCGUCGUUUUGAUUGUGGUAGAACGCAUCCAAUGAGCUAGCCCCAGAUGUUAAAUUAGAAAUACCUAUCAUAAAUUUUUUUAAAAAAAUUUUAGGUUAUGGUGUACGUGAUGAAGUUGUACACCAGGUGCAGGGAGUAGUUUCCUAAAAAGCAUGUGUAAACAUGACGAAGCAAAAGUCAAAUGUUUUAUACAUGUUCUUUUUAAAGGGAUUAUUAUAUUAAUUAAGUCAAAGAGUUCAGUCAAAUACCAAAGAUGAGACUUUCACCUGAAGCAAAGUAGUAAGAUACAAAUUAAAUAAUAAGGCCACUAUUUAAUAAUUGUCGUUGCAAAUUGCUUUGAUUAAAUUAAGCUCCACCAUCACUACUAAUUGAAUACAUUAAAUAAUAAUUAAGUGUUUCCAUAUCAUUUUACUAUUUUUAAUUUACUUAGGUAAAGUAUUCGCAGCUAAACCUUGCCAUUUGAAACUAAUUUUCGCUAUAAAUUAAGUCGGUCAAAUUUCCUGAUUUGUCUUUCAUACAUCUGUGCACACCAUGCGUAUGUAUGUUCUUAAUUCAUCUCACAUUUUAAAUCUAACUAUACAAAUUUUAAUAAUAAAGAAAAACUUGAAAAUUAAUAGGCGAGUUGUGGAGAUUAAACUAUCAGGAAUGCGUGGUGCGUGCAUGGAAGCAAAAAUUUAUCAAAAUUACAGAGCGACAUGUAGUCAAAUUAAAUGCGUCAAACGCGUAGAUAAAUUUUUAAAGGGAAUAAUUUUAAGUCAAAGGUUUCAAGAAGGGUUCAUAGUAUACAGUGUGAAGAAACCAAACUUAAUUUCAAAGCAUCAUCCUACUAAAUAGGAAUUAGAUCCUACGUACAUAGAUGAUCAGCUCUCUCUCUUGAUUAUAAAAUAGUAUGUACAAAAUAGUGCUUACACUUUAACAAAACAAACAAGCAAACAAUUAUUUCGCAUAAUAGAACUGUAUUUCAACAGCUAAUUUAUAUUGAACCGAACCCUACUUAAUUACUUUCUUAGGCUACAAUUAAACCAAUCGAUCCAACUUGGUAAAAAAAAAAUUCCUACUUAUGAUGAGGCGGCGUCGGGGGGCAAAUUCCGGGAGGACUACGGCCGGAAUGGUUGCUGCAGUCAGAAGCUUUCGCCGGCGGAACGGGCCCUCUAACACUUAUAACCUGCAGCAAGAACCUGCUGCGAAAUCCCGCUGCGGCCGUCAAAGGCAGCAGAUUUGCUUCUGCUGUGGCAAACCUCUUCGCUGCAUCGACCGUCGAAGCCGGUUUCGCUUCUGCGACGGCAAAACGCUUCUCUCCGUCGACCGCUAAAGGCGUCUUGUUUAUAUUGGCGGUCGGAAAAGAGUGCUGGACUAAUAUUAUGAUAGAGGAGAGAAAGGCCAUUAUAGUUAGGGUGAGGAGGCAUGAGGAAUAUAGGUUUGAGAAACGACGACCCAUGGGGUGCAAGUUGGAGGAGAACACAAGAAGUGGAAGGUGUAGUAGUAGUACUAGCUCGUAAGUUGAAGGGACUUCAAUUGUGAAGGAUUUAUAUAUAGAAGAGGCUCUCCAUGACUCAGUCAUCUAAUUAAUUUGGUAUCGUAUUUGUUUUAUUUUUUUUAAUAAAAUUUUAUAUAUCGAAAAUCAUAGAUGUGAACGGUAGAUUAUUUGCAAUGUUUUCAUCUAAAUUUUUCAUUUUUUAUUACCGAAUAAAAAUGUGAAUGAAAGCCUCUUUUUUUUUUUAACUCAGUUUGACCGUUGCAAGUUGAACUGCAUGUUUCGUUUCAUUUUUCUAAGUAGAUGACGUUAGGUUCACGCAAUAACUGACGUAUAUAUAAUACAAUUGAUCAUUACUCGCUGUGAUGGGUGUAUGUACUAAUAAUCUCCAACCCCAUUGAUUACUUAAUUGAUUUGCAUAUUCUUAUAAUAUAUACUAAUCUUUUCACCAUUAAGGAAUGGUGUCUUUAGAUGUAUUCAUAAUACUCUUUUCUUUCUUUUUUUUCUUUUUUGAGGGAAAACAUGCCUGAGACGAAUUUUAUUUAAUUAAUUAAUAGAUACAGGCUCAAAAAAUUCAUCAAUAGAAGACCAAAAAGAAAUUUUUUUUUGCUAGUGAGUUCCCAAGUGGCCAAGCGAUCCACGACUACAGAAUUCUAAGAAAAUCUCGAAUUUCAAUCUAAAACAGAAGCAUUUGAAUCUUUCUGUAAAAGUCCACAACUCCGUGAUUCUUGUCUGAGCUUCGGGUAUUAGCGAAUUUGAAUGAUAACUCAUGAGAUGCAAAGUUUUGAUGAUGGAUACUGAAUAUGAGAAUAUAUAAAAGUUUCUUCGGAAUACAUUUGCAAAAUUAAGAAUCUCUGUCACUUGAGAGAUUGCACCAAUUUCCACCGAGCAAGCAUCGUGGACCGCCUUUAUUGCGUCAGAUAUACAUGCGAUGAUUCAUAACACAUUCGGCCAAAUUUGGUUUUGGAAUAAAUAGAGAACAGCAGCUUCUGUUCUUCUUAAUGAAUUAUCCACGGUGCCAAGUUCUACCUCAAUUUAGUAAGAAAAAAUAUAACACUUUUCAUCUCCCUAAAAUAAUAUAUUUUCAACUUGUGGUCUUACAAGUACUGGCUACACAAAAAGGCAGGUGGAUGAUCUAUGUACUGCACCAAGUUCCUACCUCAAUUUAGUACUCCAAUAGCUAGGGGUGGAAACGAGCCGAGCUCGAGCGAGCUUAUGUCAGCUCAAAUUCGGCUUGAAAUUAAUUUCGAGCCUAAAUCUAGGCUCAAGCUCGGCUUGAAAUUAAUUCGAGCCGAGCUCGAGCGAGCCUAAUUUCCAGUCGAGCCGAGCUCGAGCUCUAAACGAGCCGAUUGAAAUUCUCGACAUUAUAUAAUCAAUAGUUUAUUUUUUAUAGAACAUUACCUAUAAUUUGAUGCAAUAUGUCCAAUAGUUCAAAAUACAAAAUAAUUGCAAGAAAUGUGAGCUAGGGUGACUGUCUGACUGGGUGAGUCUUGAUAAGAGAGAACGAGAGGAAGAUGAAGGAGAGAGGGGGGAUAUUAGGAUUUGAAAAUUGAAUGGAUCAUAUUUUAUGUUAUGUGCGAAUAGUGAAAGUCUGAAGAGAGGUUGUGUAUGCUAAUUUUAGUUUGCCUCAAUGCUGACGUUCCACUGUAUUUUAUCGCCAACAAUAAGGCAUCCCAAAUCUAAAUUAAAACCUUAUAUAUAAUUAAAAUACAUAAUAUAAUAUUUAGAUGAGCCAUAUGUAUCGUAACCACCGACUUCUGGCUUCCAGCUCGUUUUCGACGUUGCCGACUUUCGAAUCGUGUUCGAUCGCUCAUUAAACUUAUCUAGAGUAUUUAAGUACCUAGAAAAUAAAUUUUAUGAUUAUCACAAUCAUUUGCCUAGUGAUCACGAAGUGCUCAAUCAAACGGUCCCUGCAAAAUAAAAUAUCUUACAAAAAUGUUAAUAAUAUACAUUAAUAUUUUAAAUCAAAGUAUUAUUGUUUAUAUAUAUAAAGAAUUUUCUAUCAAAAUUUCACGUUGAUUGGAUUUAUAUUGUCUCUACACCGUUAAACUUGCAACGCACACAUACGGCCAUCAAAUUGUUAUUUUGACCCAUUCGCGAUCACUAGGCAAAUUAUUAUCGAAAUAAGAAUAAAUAUUUAUUUCUAGGCUACUCUCAAAUACUCUACAUCUAAGUUUAACGAGCGCACAUUCAUUCAAUAGUCGCAACAUCGAAAACACGAGCACGAAUGUCUCUGUGCUUCCUAAGCCAUAGAGCCUCACUCAAUAUAUAAUAAUAAUAUACAAUAUAAUAUAUAUAAUAUAUUCGGAGCUUUUCGAGCAUAGAUUUCAACGAGCUGAGUAUAUAUCAACUCGCGCUUGAAAUAAUUCGAAGCCUUUUACUUUUGUUCAAGCUCGCCUCAUUUAAUUUCGAUCGGACUCGACAGACCGAAUAUCGAGCCGAACACGAGUCGAACGCGAGCCGGCUCGCUCGUUUGCCCCUACCUAAUAGCGAAUAUCGUGAAAUAGAGCUGAAAACUAUAAACAUAGUCUUCAGUAGAUAAGACCUCUACGCAAAUAAAAAAAAAGCUCGACCUAACUAGAUCUCUUUUCGGACUUCCACGAGAAACUAGGCUUUAGCUUUUAAAAUUUGAUACAAAAUUUUUAAAAUUUUAAAAUUCAGUUUAGUAUAUUAAUAUAUAUAUAUAUAUAUAAUUAUAUUUAUAUUUAUUAUAUUAUAUAUUAUAUAUUUAAAUUCUAUCCAAUAAUAUUUUAAAUAAAUUUUAUAAAUUUCUAUAAUUUUAUUCAAGUAAUUUUUAAAGUUUUUAAGUUUCAUUUUUCAAAAAAAUUAAAAUUUUAAUUCUUUUCCACCAUAAUACCUUCUAAUAUUUAAAAACAUUUAGAAAAUAUUUUUACUUUUUAAAUUUUUAAAUAUAAAAAUUUUAAAACCUAAAAUAUAAAAAAAAUACUAAGUCAAUACGGGCCCGGCCCGGCCCGAUUUAGUCCAUGCUAUUUGGGCCCAUCGGAUACAAGUUCAAAAAAUUCUGCUCAAUUUGAAUCUACUGCAGAGCCUUGCCGGGGCUAGUCCUCAGCCGGUAUCGGUCCAAAAAAUGUUUGUCGUGCCAAUCCAGUACAGCCCACAUUACAUUCCUACAUGCAAUUCCACAUAUAAUCUAAAAAAAAAAAAAAAAAAUCUAAUAUAUAUUUAAGCCCAUCUAAAAUGUAGCAGUCUACUAUCUAGUAAUGAUUUGGUAAUUAAAUACGGAAUUACUAUUAAAGGCCUAAAUUAUUACCCUUUGUUGUGUACGAUGAGCUGGUAGAAAAAUCGAAACUAAUUUUUUUAUUUUUUUAUUUUUUAGAGUUUAGAAAUUUAUAUUUCCCCAUUUGAGUCAAAAUAAAAUUAAAAUUUAUAUCUUUUAUUUGUUAUCUGACUUGUCGAUAUAAAUUUAAGGUUGAGGCCGCUCAAGUGGAGAAAACAAUGACUAGCGCUUUGAUGGAUGCGGAGGAGAAAUUUUGCACACCAAACUCGACCCAACAAAGCGAAUGGAGCAUAACGUGUCACGUGGAAAAUGUAGCAUAAUUUUAUAUACUUUUAGAAGCAUAGAGGCUUUUAUUCUAUAAAGUUGUUUUUCAUAGGAGGAAUUCUGAAUCGAUAAUCGAUACGGUUAAAUUUGAUUUAGAGUAUUUGAAUUAUUUAUAAACAGAAUUAUACAAAUUUUAAAAAUUAUUUACUUACGAAUCAAAGAGUUGCGAAAUCCACAAUUUUUGAUGACUUACAUGAGUGGUUUGCUCCUUCAUUGAUGCAAAGCAAUUCAAACAGCUACAAUUCUUUCUAUUGUCUACAUAAUGUUUGAUAACUCCAAUCUAUCAUUAGUAAAGAAUGUCAAACCUCUAUUUUUACAAAAUUAUUUAUUUUCAAUCGUUUUUUUUUUUUAAACUCUUUGGUAGGCUUGAUAAUUAUUUUUAAACAUUACAAAGUUCUAUUUUUUAACAUUUCAAACCGUCUAAGCCAAUUUCAAUGUUAUUCAUUAUCAAUUUGGAAUUCUGAUCAUUGAAAACGACUUGAUAGGAUAAGUGCCGUCGUUUAUCGUAUACUUUUGUGUGUUUUUGUAAUUCCACGAGUCAGGUUCACUUUUUCCAGAAAUGCUCAAAGUGCCCUGAACUAUAUAUAUUAUAAUUAUUGAUUGAAAUUUAAUGCGUUCUUGGCUAAUAUUUGAUCUAGCAAUUUAAAAAUUGAUGGACUAAAUGUAACAGUGGUCACUAACUAUUUUCCUAAAUUAAAUAGUUGUGAUGCAUGUACACUUUAAGUAAAUUGGUUGUCUUAUUUCUAAUAGCUCGAGUUAUUGGACAUUAUGGUUAGCGCUGACGAUCCAAUAACAAUCUGUGUAGGUUUAGUGAGGGAAUUUUGGCAGGUAGGUCAGCAUCCAGCCUACAUAACGAAGGUCAGAUCGGGUUAAGUUAUAAUUGAGAUCUGUUGACGUUUGUGGAAUUGUAGUUGGCGCCGACGAUCCAACAAAUUGAUGCACUAGGUCUACACAAUUUUCUUCGCGUUCUCUCCACCUUUUCUUCAGAGUGGAGAGAGAGUGUGUAUAAUAUAUCCAUGACAUCAAGGCUCAUACAUUUCAAAAGAGGAAAGAUGCAUUUGCACAUAAGCCCCUCUCUUUCUAAAAAAUUAAGUAGUAGCUCAGCUCGAUCGGUUUAUUUGAUAUCAAUUUAAUUUUAAAAUUUAAACAUAUAUAAGACCAUGUAGAACUCGUGAUUUAUAUCAAAAUCUUUAGUUUAUUUGCUAAUUAAAUUAAAGGACAUUUUUGCAUGAAUAUUUCGCCAGGAUUAACAUAACAUCAAAUUUGUUACGACUUUAACCCUUUUUUUUGUGGAAACUCUUCUAAUCAUAUAUAUAUUUUUUUAUAAUUUAGUCACUAUAAUCAUUUUUAUUAAAAAUUUUGUUGGAUUUAAAUGUUAUACUAAUAGCCUUUAGUCUUUAACUAUUCCGGCUUCAUUCACUAAGGUAUGAUUAAAACUAUUAAAUUUGAUUAAAUUAUCAUUAAAUUUUGAUAAAAUUUUUAAUUUAUUCGGCUAAAACUCUACUAGUUUUUAAAAAUAAAGAUUUAAAGAGAUUUUAAUUAAAAAAGUUAAAGUUGAAUUUGCUAAAGUCGCUUGGUUCCACAUGCAUAGGAGGACAAUGUUGUCUCUUAAUUAAGAGAUUCAUUACAAUGAAAAGAUAUUCAUUACAAUCAAAAUAAACUAAGGAGUCAAACAAGUUUAUAUCAUAUAUAUUAUUUCACGGCACCAACGCAGAUAAACGAAAAAAUCAAACAAGUUUACUUAGAAAACCAUGUAUAGAUAUAUAUUCAAUACAUCACAAUUCAUUGUAAUGAAAGUAAACUAAGGAGUCAAAAAAGUUUACAUAUAUAGAAUGUUGGGGAAUAUGAAUUAAUGGAGAUCAAGUAAAUUAUGAUCUUGAGGCGUGUAAGUUCACUUUCUUUAAGGUGAUAUUUACUCCCACUCGAAUGUAUGCUGUCUGGUUACCAGCAGAUCACCUUCAAGAUACAACAAAAUCGGCGAAAAACUACAAACAACACUUUUAAAGACUUUCACUUAAGAACUUCCUUUUUAAGAAUCAAUAUGAAAAAUUAGGAAGGAGAAAAAAUUGAUUAUAUUACUCUUGAAACCUUUAAACAUCUCCUAUUUAUAGGAGAUGAAUGAUUAUGAUGAAAGGACACAACUUUUAAAGUUAUAUUAUUUCACAAAAGGACAUAUCCUUUCACAAAAAAUUUAUUUCUUCGUAAAAAUAACAUAUCUUUUCGUGACGAGACAUAUCUUUACAUCUAAUGAAAAAACAAAUUUUUUCAUAAGAAUAACUACUUUAUAAAGUUUAUGAAGAGACAUAACUAUUCACUAAUCUCACUUCCGUUAUUAUAAUCUACACUAAUCUCACUUCCGCUAUUAUAAUCUACACUAACGUAGAAAACCAUAUGUAGAUUCCAUGAGACAACAAUUCGUUAUGAUGAAAAAAAAAAAAAGAGUUAAACAAGUUUACAUAGAAAACCAUAUAUAUGUAUAUAUAGAUUUCAUGACAUCACAAUCCACUGCAAUGAAAAUAAACCAAGGAGUCAAACAAGUUUACAUUAAAAAAACCAUAUAAAUUAAGAUUUAAUGACUCCACACGCUUCAUUACAAUAAAAAUAAAACGAGGAGUAAACAACUUUACAUAGAAAACCAUAUAAAGAUUCCAUCACUCCAAAAUAAACUAAGAAGUCAAAGAAUAAAAGUAAAUGAAUCUACCUAAACUGUACUUUGAGCUUAUUUUUCAUCACUUUUUACUUAAUCAAUUUGAUGCGUAACGCAAUAUCAUAUCAACCGUACAUAUAUUGAUCCCCUCCUCUCUUUCAAAUGAUCGUGAACUAACCAUUUCUUUGUUUUUUUUACACUGCUUAGAUAUUCUAAAUAAAUUCUCUACAUUUUUUUUUUCACCAAAAUAGAAAUAUAUUUCACCUCUCCAAAGCAAGAAUGUUUUAUAGAUGUGAACUUAAUACAUGUGACCAGUGAAGGACAAGUCAAAACAGUGAUUAUUCUUAUAUCAUUAUUUGCAACAGUACAUAAAAUGCCAAAGAAAGAAACAAAAUUGUGGUCAAAUGUGCUAUCACCACGCAAUCACCAGACAUUCCUGUUUCUUUUUAUUACUUUAUCUACAGCAUGGCACCAGCACCUAAUUUAUUAUAGGAAAAACUUCAAAUACCCUCUUAUGAUUUCACUUUUUCUCGUUUAAGUAUCAUGUGGUUUAAAGUAUAUCAAGUUAGUACUUUAUGGUUUUGCACUUUUUCACUUUAGUACCUUAUAGUUUAAAGUGUAUCAAGUUAGUACCUUGUGGUUUCGUACUUUUUUAUUUUAGCACCCUAUAGUUUUAUUAAACCAUAAGAUACUAACAUGAUACAAAAAUAAAACCACAAAGUACUAACUUUUAACAAAAAUAAAAUCACAGAAUAUUAACUUGAUAUAUUUUAAACUACAGAAUACUAAAGUGAGAAAAUAUAAAACUAUAUGGUACUAAUUUAAUACAUUUUAAAUUAUAAAUUACUAAAAUAAAAAAGUACAAAACUAUAGCGGGGUUCUUGAAGCUCUUCCUUUAUUGUACAUCAUUUGCUGGAUAAAUUAUUAAUACAUAAACUCCCACAAAAGAAACUGGUACAGUGUGAAAUCACGUGAUAAAACUACCAAACGGUUCGUACUUCUUUUUAUUAUUAUAUUAUAUUAUUAUAUCAGCAGCAGCAUCUUCAUCUAAUUUAUACAAAAUUAAUUAUAUAUAUAUAUAUAUAUAUAUAUGCAAGGAUACAUGGUACGUACGUAUUUAUUUAUAAACUUAUGAAUUGGGAUCCUGAAGUUUCCUGGCUCGACACGUGGCGGUGGGAGCGAGUGGCGCGAGCACGGGUGCGAGCAGAGCGGGCGGGGCGCGAAAAUAGAGUCGGCUGGCGAGUGGGGGCGGCGGCGAGCGCCGCAGGGGGCGCAGGCAUGCGCGAAGACUCGUGGGCGCAAGCGUGGGGUGGGUGCGGGCGGCGCGCGUGGCGUGCGGGUGGCGCGAGCAGGCGCGGCGGGCGAGCCGGCGGUGCAGGCGCGAGCUCGGCGCGGGCGGAGCCGAAAAAAAAAAAAAACUACAGUAAACAAAAAGACGGGCUCACUUCCCUUUUUGCGCGCGUCCACGAGGUGAGACUCACUGGUGACCACCCGAGGAGAGAGACAGAGCAGUGGACCUCUCUCUCCCUCUUUGAGAUUUAUAUAUAUAUAUAUAUAAUAUAUAUAAAUUUUAAUAUUUUAUUUAUAAAUAUAUAAUAAUUUAUUUUGAGAAUCAAGAGAGAUAAUAUUUUACUUUAGUCAAUUUUUUAUUUAUAAUACACAGAUAAUAAUAAAAAAUAAUUACGUAUUUUUUUAAUAUUACAAUAGCUUUUUUAUUUAUUUUAAACUGGUUUAUUUAUUUUAGACCACUCCUAUCUCUCCUCUUUUUUGAUUUUUGUUUUUAUUUUUUACACCUUCUUAUUUUAAGUGUUAUUGCCCACAUACAAAAAAAAUGAAAUUUAAAUUUAAAUAAUUUAAUUAAUUUAUUAUUAAUAAUUUUUGAAUGUGUUGCUUAGCUUAUAAUAUUUAGUUAGUAUAUUUUAUUAAUGUUAUAAUUAAAUAUAUUUUAAAAAACUUAAUUAUGAUGUGUUUUUUUAUAAAAUAAUUAUUUUAUAUCUAAAUAAUUAUAAAAUUAAAAUUAAUAUUUAAUACAUACAAUCUAAAAUAUUUAAAAAUUAGACAUAAAUAAUUAUAUAUUUUAAAGUUUUAUUAUAAUUAAAACACAAACUUAUGAAUCCACAAUCUGACCCGAACGGAUGUUAAGAUCAACAUGAUUGUUUGUAAUCAAAACUUGUAUAUCUGAUACAAUUGAUCGCAUGUGAAAAUGUCUCUAAAACUUUCUUAUUUAAUUAACUAAAACAUAUUGUUAUUUACUUUAUAAAAAAUAUAUUUAAUUAUUUAUUAAUUAUUUAUAAAGAAGAUAAAUAAAUUCGUUGCGUAGCACGGGUUACUUAACUAGUACAAGUAAAGAGAGACACACACAAAUAAAGAAAAAAGAAAACAAUAUUCAAAAAAAAAAUGUGGGGCUCUGGUAGCUCGUACGUGCGAACGCGCCGACCUAAUUUUAUCUCCUAACAAUCAAAUAAUUAGAAAAAAAUGUACAGAGGCCGCUUGAUCUUUAACUCUUUUAUUAAAAAAAAUAAAUUUUUUAAAUUUCAACAACUAAAUUUUUAUAUUUUAUUUGAUAGUUUAAUAGAUCUUUUUUAAAUUUAAAUUACUGUGUGUGUGUUGUCUUUUAAAUAAGUAAAUAUUCUUUUUAGUCAAAAUUUGAUGAUAUAAUUUAAAUUACUGUGUGUGUGUUGUCUUUUAAAUAAGUAAAUAUUCUUUUUUGCCUAAUAUUCUUUUCCUAACUUAUAUCAAAUACUUCAAUAUAGGCUUCUUUGCUUAAUUAGGAUUACUAAUUAUGAAGUCAUUUUGGUUUCAUGUUUUGCAUAAAAUAUACCAAGUAAAGUUUUAAAAUAAAAGAAAAUUUAUUUUUUUAUUCUAAUAUAUAGAGGUUAAGGAGCAAGUGCACGCAUGCCACGCAUUUUGUCCCAAAAGGGCCCAAUUGAAAAGCAACGCGUGUCACCAACAGCUCCCACGUGCGGUGGCUGUGGUUAAAAAAGUCAAAAAAGAAAGGCCGAGAACCUUUCCUCCGUACGUGUAUAUAUAUACCUGUGCUUAUCAUCGUGCAUGUGUUAUAUACUGUAUGUUUUUAUUGCAACUCACAUUUUAAAUCUAACUAUACAAAUUUUAGUAAUAUAGAAAAACUUGUGAGGUAAAUUAUUAGGCAAGCCGUCGAGAUUAGACUAUCAGGAAUGCAUGGUGCAUGGAAGCAAUAAUUAAUCAAAAUUACUGAAUGACAUGUACUCAAAUUAAAUGCAUCGAGAGCUUAGAUAUAUAGAUUUUUAAAAAUCGAUUGGAAAAUCAUUUUCAAAUGAUCUAAAGUUCAGAUCAGUUCUGUACAUUUUCACCUUUCUUUUCUCUUUGCUCUCUCUCUAGAUCUCUCUCCCUCUCUUUGUAUUUUCUUGCAUAUAUUCUCCUAACACCAAAUCCGAAAAAGGUCCAAAGCCUCGCAUAUCAUAUCGAGUAAAAGAACAAAUGCAUUCAGUGUAAAACAAAAUACUUCUUUUGCUCUAAAUUAAGGACAAAUAAAAAAAAUUGGUGAUAGUAGAAAGAUAUAUUUGAAAGGAUAAAAUAAUAAUUUCACAGAGAUAACGGUUGCUCCUAUCAAAAUUUAUUUUUGGGGGUAUAUUUUAAAGAAUUUGGAAUCUUAAAAAAAUAUUUUUAAUAUUAGCUUUUUAAGAAGAAUCAAUAAGAAAGUCGAAAAUUUUUCAGGAGUAUAUAAGCAAUUACCCGGAAAGGGUUCAUAGUAUAGUGCGAAGAAACUAAACUUAAUUUUAAAGCAUCAUCCUACUGAAUACGAAUUAGAUCCUACAAAGAUGAGCUCUCUCUUGAUUAUAAAACAGUACAAAAAUAGUGCUUACACUUUAACAAAACAAACAAACAAACAAUUAUUUCACCUAAAUUAAUAGAACUGUAUGUAUUUCAACAGGUAAUUAAUUUAUAUUGAGCAGAACCCUAGCUACUUAAUUACUUUCUUAGCCUACAAACCAACUUGGUAAAAAAAAAUUCCUACUUAUGAUGAGGAGGUAUCGGGGGGCAGAUUCCGGGAGGACUUGGGCCGGAAUGGUUGCUGCAGUCAGAAGCUUUCGCCGGCGGAACGGGCCCUCUAAUACUUAUAACCUGCAGCAAGAACCUGCUGCGAAAUCCCGCUGCGGCCGUCAAAGGCAGCAGAUUUGCUUCUGCUGUGGCAAACCUCCUCGCCGCAUCGACUGUCGAAGCCGGUUUCGCUUCUGCGACGGCAAAACGCUUCUCUCCGUCGACCGCUAAAGGCGUCUUGUUUAUAUUGGCGGUCGGAAAAGAGUGCUGGACUAAUAUUAUGAUAGAGGAGAGAAAGGCCAUUAUAGUUAGGGUGAGGAGGCAUGAGGAAUAUAGGUUUGAGAAACGACGACCCAUGGGGUGCAAGUUGGAGGAGAACACAAGAAGUGGAAGGUGGAGUAGUACUAGCUCGUAAGUUCCAGGGACUUCAAUUGUGAAGGAUUUAUAUAUAUAUAGAAGAAGGUCUCCAUGACUCAGUCAUCAUGCAUGCACCUUAUUGCGUCAGCGAUGAUUCAUACUUUAAUGAAUUAUUCUAAAGGGAAAAAUAACCAUUUAAGAGAAAUAAAUUAUUAUUCUUAAUUACCUCCCUACAUAUUGAGUUGCUGCUCUUGCUUUUUAUCCCUCCUUUUCUCCGUCCCUUGAAACGACAAUUGGCUUAUUAUAUUAUUAUUUUUAUACACUAUCUAUUUAACUAAUUAACUUUGUAAAUAAUUUUCUAAAUAAUUAACUAUCUAAAUUUAUAUAUCAUUCACAAUUAACCUGCAGCUAAUCAACUAACUAAUAUUUAUUUUUAUAUAUUAUUCAUAGUUAAUUAACUGUGAAUUAAUUAUUUUUAAGAAUAGAACUAAUAAUUGAUUAAUUAGUAAGAUAAUAACAUACCGACUAAUUAACAUUCCUCUCCGUUAAUUUAUAUUCGUUAAUUGUUAAUUGUCUAACUGAUUAAUUUAAUAGUUUGCUGGUAAACUAAAUUGGUAAUUAAUUGACGACUUGGAUUUAUUCUAACUAAUUCACUGAUUAAUUUCUUAAAUACUGUUUACUAAUAAUUUUUUUGUAGGCAAUCUAUAUUUUAUAUUAUAAUUCCUCUUUAUUCCCACAAUUAAUUCUAAUUUAAUUAUCCAAAAGUUAGUUCUUUUAUUCUAAAAAAUAAUUGGGUUUACACCCAAACAUAAAAUUAAUUAUAUCCUCUAUUUAUUUCUAUAGUUAUGCCUAUCUAAGGGUGGCAAUCCAGCUUGCUGUUCGCGCUCGUAUUCGAUCGAUCAGCUCGAAAUGAGCUCUAAAUCGAAUCACUCGUUUAGUGAACAAGUCGAACACGGGCUGAAUUUUUCAGCUCGUUAAUAAAUGAGCCGAACACGAGAGCCGGCAUCAACUUGCUUGUGUUCGGCUCGAUAACAGCUCGAAAUACAUAUAUUUUAUAUUUAUAUAAUUUAUAUAAUUUAUAUUUAUAUAUAUCAAUAAAUAAUUAUAUAUAUAAUAUAUAUUUUUAUUAUUUGAUUUUUAGUAAAAGAAAUAUAAAGCCGAGCUCAAUUAUAAAAAAAUUUAUUUAUAUGAAAAGUUUCAAUUAUUAGAUCAAAAUUUAAUGGAUAAGAUUUUAUAAAUUUAUUUUUUAUAUAUAUUCAAUCUAACCCAUUUAACUUAUUAUUUGUUGGCUAGCUUGUGUUCAGCUCAUUUAUUAGCGAGCCGAACACGAGCAAUUAAUAAACGAGCCAAACAUGAGCUGAAUUUUUCGACUCCAUACUUUAAUAAGUUAGCUUGUGUUCGGCUCGUGUUCGGCUCGUUCAUGUUCGGCUCGUUGACAUUCCUAUGCAUAUCUCAGAUGUAAGAAGAUAUGCCAAAUUAAGGGUAUUGCGAUGGCCUAUAAGUAGUAAUUACAUAUAUACAAGGGUCAAAAUCACCUUAACUUUUUCAGUAGUCGACGCCCACAGAGCUCUAAUCCUCUCCACAAUUUGUCCCCCUCUUUGACUGUUUGAAUCCUGCACGACUGAUAAAAGAGUAGUAGUGUGUUUUUUUUUUUUUGAGAGGGAUAGAUAGUACGCUAUCCGUUUCAUUUAUUUUAUUUAGAAAUAAAUUUAGCUGGAAAUAUGAAUCAACUAGAAUUCGAACUUGGGUCUCGGGUACCAACUACCAAGCCCUUUGCCACUUGCUCUAGGGACGGUCGGUAGUAGUAGUGUGUUGUGUGUAUCUCGGAGUGUACUUUUGUUCUCAUUUGCCGUUUGAUAUGUGGAUGCUUAUUAUACUAAAGAUAUUGUUGAUUAUUAAUUAUUUACUAACAUUAAAUGGAUGAAAACUAGAUAAUUUUUAAAAGUAAACAGGUUGCAUCAAUUUCUAUAUUAUUUUUUAUGAUAAAAUAUUCAAAUCGGUGAUUGACGCCAUUAAAUAUAAUAUUAGACUAUUCGAACUUCCUAUGUUUCAAAUUUUAUAAAUUUUUGACAUCAUUUGCUAAGAAUAACCUAAUUUUUAUUCCCAAUAAUAACCUAAUUUUUAUUAAAAUACAAAAUUUAUUUAGGUCCUAUUUAUACCUCAACUUAUACCUAUUUCCGAAAUAAGCAGUUCUUUUACUUAUACUCGAGCCAAACGCAACCCUAUAAUUUUGAAUUUUAAAUAUAAAUCUAAAUUUAAAAUUUUAACUUACGUUGCGAAUAUAAGUCGGUUGUUUAUAAUUUUCACCUCUUUAUAUAUAAUUUAAUAAUUAAAAUUAUAAUAUUACAGUUUUAAUCUUUUAACUUUAUAGUCAAAGCUAAACAGGCGAACUGAAAAAUAACUUUUAUAAAAAUAAUAUUUUUUCUUUUUUAAAUUUCAUUGAUUUUCGAGCAAACAAACGUGCCUGAACUGCAUGCCGAAUGAAACAAGUAAGCACCGCCGACGUCUGACUCAGAUGACAGAUCCGUCUGGAAACUUUAUAUCCAUUUUAAGCAGCAGAAUUGGCUGAUUCGUUCCGAGUCCAGCUAACGAACCAAUCAGCCAUUCACACUUUAACAUGACAGCUGGUUCCAGGGAGAUCGUACUUAAUUACAUACUAAGUAAAAAAAAAAAAAAAUUCAAGUAUAUAUACAUGUAAAAAUAGGUAUUUCAUUUAUAUUUUACUCAUCCAAUAUACAAAAUUUAGGAAAAAUUUCAAAUACCUCUUUUGUGAUUUCGCACUUUCUCACUUUAGUAUCUUGUGAUUUAAAGUGUAUCAAGUUAGUACCCUGUGGUUUCGCACUCUCUUGCGUUAGUACCCUGUGGUUUAAAGUGUAUCAAGUUAGUACUCUGUGGUUUUAUUUUUGUAUCAAGUUAGUACCCUUUAGUUUUAUUUUUUUUCUUUUUAUUAUCCAUUUCGGAAUAUUUUUUUCGUUAAAUCAGUGAUAAAGUUAAAACUAAUUAAAUGGUACUAAAAUUAAUAUUCGAUAAACCUAGAUAGGAUAUCUAAAGUUUUUUUUGUAUAUAAUUUAACGAAAUAUUAAACCACAGGAUACUAAAGUGAAAAAGUGCGAAACCAUAGGAUACUAACUUGAUACACUUUAAACUACAUUGUACUAAAGUGAGAACGUGCAAAAUCACAUUGUACUAACUUGAUACAUUUUAAACCACAGAGUACUAAAAUAAGAAAAGGCAAAACCACAAGAAAAGAUUUUUGAAGUUUUUCCUAAAAUUUACUUACUAGUUACUCAACAUGCAUGGCUAGCAGAAACGUCUCACUUCAUAAAAAUAUACGAUAUCCAUUCUGAUUGAGAUGUACACUAAUUCAUAAGAUAAAUUAUACUUUUGAUCUUCAAACUAUAUAUGAGGUGGAAAGCACUUCACUUUAUUUUAUUAUAAUUUUUUACUUAAAUUACGAGGUGCAUGAUGUUUUAGUCUUCGAAUUUUAAUUAAUUAUAAUAAUUUCUGUUUCAAAUUUUAAGAUAUGUGACAUCUUAAUUUUCAAAGUUUCUAAAUUAUAAUAAUAUUCUACUUAAUAAUACAAUAAUAAUUAUUGUAUUACUUCAAUGCUAGUUGUUUUUUAAUCUUUAUUCAAAAAAUUAUAUUAUUCAACUUAAUUGUAAUAAUUUUAAAAAAUUAACCUAAGGGGCUAAGCCCUAAACCCCGCGUUCCUUAAUUCCACGGUGGGUUCUCAUGCACAUGGGAUGAACCCUCAAAUUACAGCCUAAUUUUAAGGCAUGCGUGUAAGGGAAUGCACAUUUGGCUGUACAUUGUUGUACUCUUCUCAGUACUAUUAUCCUGUGGAAACUUUAUAUAUAUAUAUAUAUAUAGAGAGAGAGAGAGAGAGAGAGAGAGAGAGAGAGAGAGAGAGAGAGCUAGUCUCCUAUACUAUUUAUAAUAACGGGCCUCUGGUAUUAUAGUCCCAUUUUCGAUUUUAGGGUGUUCAAAUCAACGAUACAUAUCGUUAAAACUGAUUUAGGGUAUUUAAAGUUUUUAGAAAUAAAAUUUUAUAUUUUUUCGACAUAGUUUACUUUAUGAUCAAAUCAUUUCAAAAUUGUCAAUUUUCAAUGGCUACUAUAGCGAGUUUAGAGUUUAACGGUGUAGAAGAAUCUAAAUUUCUUUAAAUUUUGAUAGAAAACACUUUAAACUAUCUAGAUUAAGGUUAACAUUCUUAAUCUUGAAUUUAAAAGUCCUAUACUCAAAUUUUAAAGAUUAUUCGAUUUCCACCGUCCAUUUUGACAUAAUUUAUUUACUAAGUAAACGAUGUCGAAAAAAACUAAAAUUUUUUUCUAAGAACUUCAUAUACCAUAGAUCAUAUUUAAUGAUGUGGAUCGUUAAUUUGAACAUCACAAGAUCGAAAAUAAGACUAUAGUACCGAAGCUCCAGUACUAUAGAUAGUAUAGUAGCAUAAUUCUAUAUAUAUAUAUAUAGGCUAGGGCUACUAUCCUAUUAAUAGGAUAGUAGCACUUGUCCUAUCAAAUUGUUCUUGAUGAUAGAGAUUCCGAAUCAAUGAUCGGAGCCGUUAAAGUUGAUCUAGAGUAUUUGAAAUAUCUAAAAACUAAAUUUUAUAAAUUUUAAAAAUUAUUUACGUGAUGAUCAAAGUAUCGUAAAAUUGACAAUUUUUGAUUGUCUAUAUGAGCCGCUUGCUUGUUUAACGGUGUAGAAUAAUCCAAAUUGGUUGAAUUUUUGAUAGAAAAUUCUUUAUACUAUUUAGAUAAUAUUUGAUAAUUCUGAUCAUGAUUUAAGAAAGUCUAACCUCUAUUUUAAGAAGGUUAUUCAUUUAUGACCGUUCAUUUUUUCGACUCUUCGAUAGACUUGAUAAUGAUUUUCAAAAAUUACAAAAUUCGGUUUUUAAAUAUUUCUUAUAGUGUAGAUCAAUUUCAACGGUGCCGAUUAUCAAUUUGGAGUGUCGAUCAUUCAAAACCAUUUGAUAGGACAAUGGUCCCAAUCCUAUUAAUAGCAUAGUAGCCGGACUCUAUAUAUAUAUAUAUAGUAUGAGGCUACUAUGCUUCUGGAAGCACGGAGCCUUUCGUGCUUUCAGAUCGUUUUCGAUGUUGCGACUUUCAAAUCAUCGAUCGGCUCCGUUAAAUUUGAUCUAGAGUAUUUGAAGUACCUAGAAAUUAAAUUUUAUGAUUUUUCGAUAUCAUUUGCCUAGUGAUCGAAUGGGCUCAAAAUCAAUAAUUUUAAUGGCCGUAGUGAACCGUUUGCAAGUUUAACGGUGUAGAAAUAUCCAAAUCACGUGAAAUUUUGAUAGAAAAUUUUUUAUACUAUAUAAAACAAGAUCAAUAUCUUUAGUCUAAAAUUUUAAUGUCAUAUUAUCACGUUUUGUAAGAUUUUUAUUUUUAACUGUUGAUUUUGAGUUCCUUCGUUCACUAGGCAAAUAAUAUCGAAAAAUCGCAUAAUUUAUUUUCUGGGUACUUCAAAUACUCUAAAUCAAGUCUAACGGAGCCAAUCGACGAUUCGAAAGUCGCAACAUGAAAAAUGACCUGGAAGCACGGAAGGCUCCGUGCUUCCAGAAGCAUAGUACCCUCACUCUAUAUAUCUAUAUAGAGUGCGUUUGGUAUGCUUCUGGAAGCACGGAGCGUUCCGUGCUUCCAAUUUGUUUUUGAUGUUCGGACUUUCGAAUUGACGAUCGGCUCCGUUAGACUUGAUCUAGAGUAUUUAAAGUAUCUAGAAAAUAAAUUUUGUGAUUUUUCGAUAUCAUUUGCCCAGUUAUCGAAGUCGCUCAAAAUCAACGGCUGAAAAUAAAAAUCUUACAAAAUAUGAUGAUAUGGCAUUAAAAUUUUAGAUCAAAGUUAUUGAUCUUGUUUUAUAUGGUAUAAAGAAUUUUCUAUCAAAAUUUCAUGUGAUUUGGAUAUUUCUACACAAUUAAACUUGCAAACGACUCACCACGUUGAUUUUGAGCCCCUUUGAUCACUAUGCAAAUGAUAUCGAAAAAUCGCAAAAUUUAUUUUCUAGAUACUUCAAAUACUCUAGAUCAACUCUAACGGAGCCGAUCGUCGAUUCGAAAGUCCGAACAUAGAAAACAACUUGGAAGUACAGAGGGCUCCAUGCUUCAAGAAGCAUACCAGCCCAUUAUGUAUAUAUAUAUAUAUUUAUAUAUAUAUAUAGAGAUCGGCUGGGAUACUAUCGAUAGCACUAAGGAUUUGGUGCUAUCGAGUUUUUCACCGUUAGAUUUAACCCUUUAAUUAUUUUUACAUGUUGGAUUAUACUAUUCAACCAACCACUCACUCAACCCUACAUCAUCGUAACCACGCAUUUCUCAAUCCAAUGGUUAAAAAAUGAAUAGCACCAAUAGCUUGUUGCUAUUGAUAGUAUUCCAGCCUAGUUAUAUAUAUAUAUAUAGAGAGAGAGAGAGAAAGAGAGAGAGAGAGAGAGAGAGUCCGGCUACUAUGCUAUUAAUAGCACGAAGCACUUGGUGCUACCAAGUUUUCCGCCGUUAGAUCUAUCAUUUUGAUCAUUUUCACCCGUUAGAUCAUACUAUUCAACCAACCACCCACUCAACCCUAGAGAGCCCACAUCAUCCUAACCGCACAUCUCUUAAUCCAAUGGCCAAAGACUUGGUAGCACCAAUGACUUGGUGCUAUUAAUAGCGUAGUAGCCUAGUUCUCUCUCUCUCUCUCUCUCUGUAUAUAUAUAUAUAUAUAUAUAUAUAUANGAAUGUAAAAUUUAUAGCUACUUUUGAAUAUACAGAUAGCAGCGCGCUUCUUAUAAAUAAUAUCCUUUUCUUCGAAAAAUUUUCAAUGACUAAUUAUUGGCUAGUUAAUAUAUUUUCAUAACUUUAUGUUUUUAAGUAAACAUUUUAAAUAUUAGACAUCAAAUCUUGAAAUGAAAUCUAUAUCUAUAUCUAUAUUUAAAUUUCGAUCUUCUAUCUAUUUAUAUAUAUAUAUAUAUAUAGAAAGAGAGAGAGUUGAGCUAGAUUACUCUCAAAAGCACCAUAAAGGUCGGAAAGAGUUUCACAAAUUCGAACACAUUUUAACUUAUUUAGGGACUAUACAGCGAUCAUCACUUGUACAGGCUUUAGCAUUCCAAAUACGACCACACGCAUUAAUUACUACUAACUAACUACCAAAAGUAGAAAGCUAAUGAGGAUCUCCUGAUUAACUAGCCCAGGCAUUUAAUAAUUAAACUGAUACCACUGCAAAUAUUACAUCAUAGUUUUAUAAAAAAUUUGAAAACGUGAUUCUUUAUAUAUUCGCAGGUGUUAAAAUCAACGAUCCGAAAUUUCUAAAAUAGGGUGUUAUUGAAACAAUUCAAGAUUUAUAUUUUUAAAACUCAUAACUUUUUAUACAUAUAUAUAUAUAUAUAUAUAUAUAUAUAUAUAUAUAUAUAUAUAUAUAUAUAUAUAUAUAUUAUUUGUUGGAACUGUACGUUCAAACUUUUAUUUCUAAACUUCCAUCGUUAAAUUUGACCUUGAGUAAAAUUUUUAUAAUUUGGAAAAAAAAUAUAAUUUCAUGCAUACCUUCUCUGUGGGGCGCCGUUACCGCGACGGUUGGUACGGUUGGAAGUUUUAUAAAAUAGGAUCUUUGGCCCCGCACUUAAUUUAACGACUUAGUUGAACUUAAAAAAGAAUUAAUUAUCGGAUUUACUACAACAAAAAUAGUCUAUAGCGACACUUUUAAAUAUAGGUACAUGUCAAAAAAAAUGCUGCUAGCUAAAAUUACCGACACUUUUAAAAAGUGUUGCUAUAUGUGGGAUCGCUAGGUAUAUAGUGACAGUUAAAGAGUGUCACUAUAACCUAAAAAAAUGUUGCUAAUUUACCAACACUUAUUUAAAUAUUUAACAACCGCCGAAACUCUAUCUCGUUGGCUGCGGUGGCGGAGGAGGACGACAGGAAAGGCUCUUCGUUUAGAAUUUCAGUGGAUUAAGUGAAGAUAGAAGAAAAGAUGGUAAUUGAUUUUUCUUUUUUUUUUUCUUUUCAGUUUGUAAUCGGGCCAAAUGGACUGGGUGUGGUGGGUUGAGUAGAGUAAUCUUUUAUUUUUUGUUGGAUUAGGCUUUAUAUUUAGGCAUUAGUAGAUGCUUUUUUAAAUUUUAGCAUAAAUGGGACACUUUCUCAAAAGUGUCCCAAACAUGUGUCCCUAUAAUCUAAUUCUGUUGUAGUGAUUGUGUCGGCUCCAAAUUAACCUCUCCUCUGGCUAGCGAAUUUUUGUCUUUUUUUUUUUGAAAAAAGAAAUAACUAAAAUUAACUAUUUGUGCACGAAGAACCCGGGAAUCUGAAUAUAUAGGGAUAUUUCGGUGUGAACGCAAAUGUUCUUUGCCACCAAUAGUGAUGGUUGGGUUUGCUUCGAGUGGAAGGAUCUUAUAGACUUUUUAAUCAUUUAAUUAAUUAUUAUUAACACAUCACAAACAAAUUAAGAAAAGAAUGAAAAGAGAAAGAAGAAGAAGAAAGAUUCUAUUUGUCAACUCAAAAAAAACAAAGAUGCAAGAUAUACACCUUAUAUUAGAAUGUAGCAAUGACAUUAAUUGCUCAAAAGAAAAAGAACAGUGUCUAUUGUUCUAUCAUCCACGAUCUUGAAUUAAGUGGAAAAAAAAAUUAGUUGAGUCUCGAAGAUUUGGUUAUGAAGAACAGUUCGCUUAUAAUUGUAAUUAGAGAGAAUUUACGUGAACUCAUCAUUAAUUUGCUCUAAAUGGCUAGCAGUUUUCCCACCGAUCUUGUGGCAUUGCUCGGAGUGAUCACUAGAGUUUCACAGAUAGCGCUUCGAAGACCGUGCACCACACACCUCAACCAAUAGACCAUAUUUUAUGCUUAUACUAGCGUAGUAACCCGUGCGAUACGACGGAUAGAUAAUUAAAAAAAAUAUAGAAAAUAUCAAUAAAAAAAAAGAAAAGAAAACGGCGAUAAAAAAAGCGAUAAUGAGGGGAGGGAUUCAUUUUGCCGUUGAACGAAAAUAAUAUACCACUUGUCACGGGGUUAGCUUUUUCGCCUUGAAAACCACCGCGCGGCGCUCAAGUGUCGUACACCCGAGCCAGCCUUCUCGAGUCCUCUCCACGGACAAGUCUCCCAGACUUAACAGCGGAAUACCAAUUCAAGCAUUUUGCCAAGCUUGCUCCUCCGCGAGACUUACAACCCGACUCUUCGCUUGUAAUCGAACCCCUCGUCGGACUCCUCGAGUUCCCAACGAGCAACCCCAAUACCGAGGUUGGCCACCAAGCUAGGUGCAUCCCGUCUUGCCAACCGAUCUCUCCUCGAGAGUGCUUCAUAACCGAAUGCCUUGUUGCCUUCAUCACUAGCCCCAAGGACAUUACAAGUUCUCCCCAACUUGUUCCAUUAUGAGUCUAGCCAAGCGUCUCGCCUCCCAUGCGUUUCGCUCCCGUGACUUAAUUCGCACGCCUCUAGCGUUAAGGUCCGGGCUUCGCAACAUCGCAUGCCACGAAGGGCACUCAUAAACAUAUGUUCCACACCAUCGUGCCUCAGGCGCCUGACAACGUCCAUGGCCAUACGCGGCUUGGAUCUCUGUAGUGGAGCGUACGAGCGGAUGAGGGAUAGUCUAGCGACGGAUUGUCCUCUGUAAAGGACAAGGCUCGCGAAGGCAAGUGUGCCGAGUGGGGAUUCGUGGGGCGCGGCGCCCACGAAGACCAAGAAGGCGGGACUCAAUAGGAGCGCUAAAGGGAGGCACGCCAAGGGAGAAUUCGUAUCGAGUGGAGCACACUCAAAAAUGAAGGAAAAGUUGCCAUGUGGCAACUUUAGAAGAAAUAAUAUAUAAAAAAUAAAUAAAAGAAUAAAAUAAAAAAUAUAUAUGAUUGAUAAUUGAAGUUUUUUUUUUCGAAUUAUUAUAAUUAAUUAACAUGUAAUGCAAGUUGGCCGAAUAACGAAUGAUAUGAAUCAAUUGGUCUGGUUCUUUCUAAUAAAGCAGUCUGGUUCAAGCAAAGGAAGAGGGCACCAGUUUGGUUCAGGUAAACAAAAAACAGGGAAUAUGAGCUGGUUUAGUGUAAAGGCUUCACUCAACCAUGUUUGGUUCAAGCAAAAAAAUGUGAAAUUAUUUGGAGAGCUUGAGCCGGUUCAGGAUGGGACUCAUACUCGACAAUUCGGUUCGGUUCAACUAAAGGAAAAGAACCGGUGGAGCCCACACCCCACAACAUUGAAGCUUGUGUUGCCAUGUGGGAAGUUUUUUGAGAAAUAAUGUAAAGUAAUAGAUAAUAGAUAAUAGAUAAUAGAUACUCCCUAUUAUUUAUUGAUUUAGAAAGUAUUAAUUGUUUAUUGUCGUUAAUUAAGGAAUUUUAAAGUUGAAAAUGCUUCUUAAAACUAAAAUUUUAAUGUAUGUUUGUAUGUCGAAAUAAGUUAUUUGAUAAUAACUUAUUCUUUAUGUGGAUUUUCUAUUGUGAUUAUAAAAAAGAAGCUUGAUUAUUGGUUCUUAUAAAGCGUUGAUAUUUAAAAUUUAUUUGGAUAAUAUAUUUCAUCUACAAGGUGGUUUAUUUUAAUCAAUUUUUUUUCUUUUGGAGGAUUUUAUAUGCUUUUCUAUUUUAAACAUUUGACCAUACUUAUAGCUUUCAAUCACAAUAGAAAAUUUUCAUAUCGAAUAGAGUAUAUAUCAGUGAAUAUCUUAUUUCAAUAUCGAAACAGAACUUCAAAGUAAAUUUCUAUUGAAAAAAUAAAAUUUCUAUGAAAUGAUCCACGUCUCAUGAGGAGACACAUGUCCCCUCAAACCCUCCUUUACUCUCUCUUUCUCUCUCUCUCUCUCUCCCUCUCUCUCUCUCUCUAUAUAUAUAUAAUUUUAAAUUUUGAUAUCAAAAUUUAAAAUUUUAAUAUUUUAAAAUUUUAAAAUUUUAAAUUUUGUAUUUUAUAUUUUAAAUUCUAAAUUUCAAUUUCAACUUAUAAUAUUUAUUUCAAAAUUUUAAACUUUGAAAUUUAAAAUUUUAAAUCUCUAAACUCUAUGAAAUUAAUUAAUUAAUUUUAUUAAUAACUCAUUACAUAUAAUAUAAUUAAUUAAUUUUAUUAAUAAUACUAGUAAUAAAUCGCGUAAUAAAAUCUAAUCUAAUAGAUGCAAUUUAAAUCAGGUAAAAUAUCGCUGUAUAAAAAAAUACAGUAUUUAAAUUUCUCGAGUAAAAUUUUACAAAUAUAGUGUAUUUGUGUGUAUAUAUAAUUAAUUUUACUAAACAAUUUCUUCUACAAUUUUAUUUUUCUUCUAUUUAUUGAGUUUUUUUAAAAUUAUUUUGAUACAUUUAUCUCAAAUUCUUCAAAUAUAAAUCUUUAUAAAAUAAUUUAUUGUAUAAAUUUACUUUGCGCAUAUACCAAUUUUAAUAACUUUUAUUUAAAUAGAUUUAACUAUUAAAUUAUUUUUAUAUAACUUUUAUUUAAUUAAUAAUUAAACUUGUGUAUUGCUUUUAUGCUAUCGGAAGCAUAAAGUAGUUGGUGUUUCUGAUUUUUUCGCCCUUAGAUCAAAGAUUCUAUAUAAAUCUUUAUAAAAUCUUUAUAAUAUAAUUCUUCAAAUAUAAAUCUUUAUAAAAUAAUUUAUUGUAUAAAUUUACUUUGCGCAUAUACCAAUUUUAAUGACUUUUAUUUAAAUAGAUUUAACUAUUAAAUUAUUUUUAUAUAACUUUUAUUUAAUUAAUAAUUAAACUUGUGUAGAGCUACUAUACUAUCGGAAGCAUAAAAUAGUUGGUGCUUCUGAUUUUUUAGCCCUUAGAUAAAAGAUUUUAUGGUUGGGAUGAUAACGGUCCCCUUAAGGUUGAGUGGUUUUCAGUGAUUAAUAAUAUUAAUCCAAUGAUUAGAAAUGAUCAAUUGGUUUGAUCUAAGGGCUAAAAAAUUAAAAUCAACAACCACUUUAUUCUUCCGAUAGCAUAGUAGCUCCACUUAUUAAACUUAUAAAACUAUAUAAAAAUAUUAAAAAUAAAAUUUAUUAUAAAAUAUUUUUAUAUCUGCAGCAUCGUACGGAUAUUUUACUAGUAAGCACAACGAGUGCUGCCUACGUAGGACCUGGAUCCUUCUGGAAAGUAUUCAUUUUUUAAAGUAAACAGAAUUGGUCGGCUCCAAUUAAAAGCACCGUUCCAGCUGCACACAUUUCCGUUGAAAGCGAGAUUCGUGCACGCAUUGAUCACAAGCUAAUUAAUAAGGUAAAUUAUACUUUCGUGUUCAAACGGUGAGUCGGGUUAUCCUUCGGUUCAGGAAGUAUCAGUCACGUGGUAUUUUUAAUAUUUUAAUUUUUAAAUUAAUUUUUUUUGAUUACUUUUAGCUUUUUGAAUUAAUAUUAUUUUUUUUAGAAGGCUAUCAAAAUCUUAAGAGGGAUAUUAUCAUCCCAACUCUGUAAUUUUUGAACUAAUUAAUGACCAAUAAAUCAAAAGCACGAAUUAUUUUAUACUUCUGAAAGUAUAGUAUACAUAUAUAUAUAUAUAUAUAUAUAUAUAGAGAGAGAGAGAGAGAGAGAGAGAGAGAGAGAAACUAAGCUCCUAUAUUUUUAAAAAUACUAAAUUAUUGAUACUCGUAGAUUUUUCGUCUUUGGAUUAAGAGAUGUGCGAUUACGUUCUCUAGGGUUGAAUGGAUGAUUGGUUGAAUAGUAUGAUCUAAUGAAUGUAAAUGAUCAAAGAGAUAAAUUUAACAGAAGAAAAUUACAAGUAACAAGUGCUUGAUAUUACUGACCGUUCCUAGAGCAAGUGACAAAGGGCUUGAUGGUUGGUAUCGGAGAUCUCAAGUUCGAAUCCUAAUUAAUUCACAUUUCAAACUAAAUUUAUUUCUAAAUAAAAUAAACGAAACGGAUAGCGUGCUAUCUAUUUCUCAAAAAAAAAAGAAGAAAAUGGCUUGAUACUUUUAGAAGCACCAUAACUGGACUCUAAAUGUAUAUUAAAAAAAACAUAACCGGGCUCUACAUAUAUUAAAAACACCAUAGUCGGACACUCUCUCUCUCUCUCUCUCUCUCUCUCUCUCUCUCUCUCUCUCUCUCUCUAUAUAUAUAUAUAUAUAUAUUCCUACUGGGAUACUAUCGAUAGCAUCAAGCGUUUGGUGCUAUCAAAUUUUUCGCUGUUAAAUUUAACCAUUUAAUUAUUUUUAUCCGUUAGAUUAUACUAUUAAACCAAUAAGUCACUCAACCCUAGGGGGGCCAUAUCAUUCUAAUCGUAUAUUUUUUCAUCCAAGGGUCAAAAAUCUAAUAGCACCAAUAGCUUGGUGCUCUUUAUAGUAUUCCAACCUAAUUCAUUUAUAUUAGGAGUAUUUAUUUGUUUUUGCUAUUAUUCGGUGGUGGGACCGAUAUUUGCCGCUCCUCACCUUGGCGGCGGCGGCGGGGCCGUUCGUGUCUCUCUCACUCUCCUUCUCUUUUUCGGGCCGAGUCCCCAAUCCUUCUUAUCAUCUUAAUUCUUAAACCGACACACAUUAUUAUUAUAUUAAAAAAAGGUGUGAAGCCCUUUUUGUAAUUUCGCGCACUAAAAUCCUUCGCGUGACCUCUUAGUAGGUCGAAGAAUUUGACCGCUAAGAAAAGGGUGUGAAACAACCCCUCUUUGUACUUUCGCGCACUAAAAUCCUUCGCGUGACCUCUUAGUAGGUCGAAGAAUUUGACCCGCUAAGAAAAGGCACUAAAAUCCUUCGCGAAAGGAACUAAAAUCCUUCACGGCCUCUUAGUAGGUCCAAGAAUUUGAUAGCUAAGAAAAGGGUGUAAAACAAUCAUUAUACUCUAAAAAUUUAAGCUGUUAUAAAACGGUGUUUAAACUUUUGUAUAUUUAACACUUCCGCUCGAGGAAAUUAAUAUGCUAGGAACCUGGCGUGAUUCGAAUUCAAGACCUCCUGCUCUGAUAUCAUGUGAAACAACCGUUGUACUUUAAAAGUUUAAGCUGUUAGAGAACGGUGUUUAAAUAUUUUUACAUUUACCAAAGGGUGCUUAGCAAACGAAUUGUCCCCUUACUAAAGCAAAAAUAUUUGUCAAUAAUUAAUUCAAAGUAUCAAGCAAGUGGCACAUCUCUUAAACCAAAUAUUAAUUAAACAAAUACCCUAAUUCUCGGAUAGUGGCCGAGGUAAUUGUACAACAUCGACUCUCCAUUAAUACCCUGUAAAACAAAUAUUAAUUUAUUCACGUUUAAUUUAGAGACUGAUGCUGAGGCACCGGCCCUAAGGGAGUGGUUCGAUGUCUUGAAAAAGCAUGAAAAUUAAACUAUUUUUCAGUUUUUUUUUUUUUUUUUUUUUUUUUUUUUUUUUUUUUUUUUUGUGUGUGGAGAACAUUUUUUUUUCUAACCAUUUUUUCGGAUAAAGAGUUCGGAGAGCUCAAACAGCUCAUUUUAUCAUUGGAUUUGAAAUUUUGUUUCUAAAAGAUACUAUUUUUUAAUAGGAAUCAAUAUAAAAAAAAAAAAACUUUUUCAAUUAUAAAACUCUUUUUUGAGAUAUGCGGUAAAAGAAAGCAUCGCACGAGUGUUGGCUAUUAGGUCAACAUUUCUGUCAUGUCUAGAAGACUAAUAAGUUGAGUUGGCUGAGCCCAAUAAGUUGAGUGAGGUUAUGGUCGAUAAUUGACCUAACAGUAAAAGGUCCGAUAAAUAAAUCUAACAUUCAGAUGCAUUGAGUCAGAUUGAAACUCAUAAAUACCGUCAUUGAGUUUUUAAAUGUGAUCGUUGCGAUCGGCAUGUAUUUUUGAGAUAAUAGGUUAGUCCUUUUGCAGCGGACGGAACAUCACACGUGGCGCUAUGUUCAUUAAUUGUAUUAAAUUAUAGAGAAUAAUGAAGCCCACGCAUUUAUAUGGUGAGCAUUUGUUUAAUCUUAAUUACAAUCUUAAGCAAAACUCAUUGUAACGCAUGAGCAACAAAGUAAGCUCUCGGAUGCUGAUCACAGCAUCAAGCACAAUCAGAAAUGUAAUCAACCAAAAUUGGCGCAUAUAUAUCAUAGUUUACAGUGACAUAUAUGCAACUAGUGAAAAUUUAAACUAGGUAAGUGACUAAUAUUUAUUAUCUAAUCUUAUUUAAAAAAUAUCACGGCAAAUAACUAAAUUUUAAAUUAUUUUAUAAAUUCCUACAAAGAAGUUUUUGAUUAAUUUACUUUUAAAAGAUAAAAUUUUAAAAAAUAUUCUUGCGCACUGCAGGGGUUGCUGACUAGCAUAAAGCUAUUACUUGAUAUACAAAGCCAAUUUCAAAAAUCAAUUAAAGAAAUAAAAUUUAAACAAUUUAAUCAACAAGGUACACAUAUUAAUUAUAAAAUUCAAAUAUUCAAACCAACAAAACCAAACGGAAAUCAAACUGUUGGUUUAGGUUUUAGCAUUAUUAAUAAAAUUUAAUAACUUUUUAAAUUGAAUAAGGCCAGUUCAAUUCUAAUUUAUGAACAAACCAUAAGCAUGCACGUCGCUAAGGAUGUAAAACGGGCAGCGGCCCACAACUACUGGCGGAAUUAAGGCAUAGUUAGGGACAUGUCAACGAGUCGAAUUUGGAAUGGAUUAUCAAAAUCCCGAAUCUCAACCCGACAAGCAAAUCCGAAAUUUGAAUUCGAACAAAGAUGAAUUUUGAAAAUCCAUAGCAAAGACUGAACCCAACCGACAAGUCUGAAACGCAAACCCAAAUCUAAGCUCGAAAUGAUUAUUUCUCUUUAGUAUAUUUUCCAUCAUAUUUCAUUAAAUUUUAAACAUUUUUAAAAUACAAUUUCAAAUAAAACACAAAAAAUUUUAAAAAAUUUCAAAAUAAAAAUUCUAAACUUGUUCCGAUUUGGGGACAACCGGGCAAGUUUGUUUGAGAAGAAGGGUGGAACAGCUAUUCCACGCAAAAAAUAAUGUGGGGGAUAUAAGGAGAGGAAUAAGGAUUCAUUCCCCUCCUUAUAUCUGAACCAAACGUUACCUACGGUUCAGUAGGCGGUUAGUUGAAUAAAAUGAUUUAAUGAGUGGAAAUAGCCAAGGGAUAGAUUUAACGGAUGAAAAUAGUCAAAUGAUAGAUCUAACGGUGAAAAACUUGGUAGCACGACACGGUUGGUACUAUAAUGUAAAAUUAAUUCGAGUUCAGUUAGCAUACAAAUAAUUUUACAAGCAAUGGUGUUUUAUUGUUACAUAUUUUAUGCAUUCAACGUGUUGCCACUUUCAAAAGUUUACAUUUGUCGAUUUCAAACGUCUUAUAUUUUCAUUAUGUGAAAAUAUAAGACGCGCGCCAAACUGAAAAUGCAUAAAUCCACAGAAAAUUUUUUUUCCUAUACAAAUUGUAUUAACUACGAAUUAAUCUCUACAACAUCCAACAAGCACAAACAAUACCUGAAAUUUUUUUAAGAAAAUUGUUAAAACGGUCCGGGCCACCCUUGGGCCGCCCAGCCUGGCAUGGCUUCACUCCUUAGGCCCGAACUUUCGGGUCGUACUGGGCCUCACUCUUUAGGCCCGAUGGUCUGGUACGACCCGACACGAAACAUGCCUGGACCGUGCCAGGCCGAGGAGAGCCCGUGGCCCGGCACGGCGCUGCCAACUUGGUCCGUGCCAGCCGGGCCAGCACGGUCCGAACCUCAUGGCCCAAGGCAAGUUGCCUUGGGCCUAGGGGGUCCGAUCUCUUGGGGAGAAGGGCUUGGCGCUCUCUUCCCAAUGUCUGAAGUGGUAGACUUUGGAAGGAGUGAUUUUUGGUCCAAUGGACCAAACAAUUUUGGUCCAUUGGACCAAAAACUCUUUUUUUUUCAAUAAUAAUAAUAAUAAUAAUAAUAAUAAUGUAUAUACUUUUUUAAAAAAUUAAAAAAUUAUUAUUUUAUAAUUAAUUUAAUUAAUAAAUUUUAAAAUUUUUAACUAAAAUAUUAAUUUAACUAAAAAUAAAAUACUUUUAUUUUAAAAUUUUAAUGCAGGAGUCUGCUGAGACGUCAUCGAUCCGCCUACGUCUGCAGGCCGAGGCCUAGGCCCCGCCAUCACAGGCUGCAGCAUGGUUGCGCUCAGUAUCAUCAUCAUCAUCAUCAUCAAAGCGAAGGCGAUGAGGAUGUUCACCUGCAGCAGCAGGGGCCAUUGUAGAGGGAAUGCGAACGAAUUAUUAGUAGUUGCAGUAGCAGCAGAGAGAGAGAGAGAGAGAGGAGGCUUAACGUGCACUUGUAGGAGAAUUUAGGCAAUGCUGGGGGGUUUAUAUAAGCAGACAUUGUAAGUAAGCUUGUAGGCCUAUCAAAAUUUAACACAGAUCGACUUACUCUUUAAUCUUGAUUGGUUUAAAGAAACCAGCAUUCUGUUAUAUAUAUAUGUAGCGCAAGUUUGGAUUAAAUGACAUGAGGCUGAUGGACCGAGUCAUAAUCGUGAUUCGUGGACGCUGUGUUUUCACGCUGUGAAUAGAUUAAUUAUGUAUUACUAAUCGUUCGAAUUUUUGAUAUUAAUGAUUAGCGCUGAUGAUCCGACGGCCUUAAUCUAAAGAAUAUAUAUACUUUUGUGACCAAUGGGGUAUAGGAGUUUCGGAGAACUACUUUGAGACCUUUUAUUAACCUGGAGAAUUAAAUAUAUACAUUCCAAAAAGUUUAACCAACUCAAAAGGUUGACCUGUUCAUCACGGCACUAAUAUUUUUUUAGAGACCAACAUCUAGCAUUAUGUACACCGAGGGGCCCAGGCUCAAAACCAACUCGAUCAUUCAUGUCCAUAGACUCCAUACACAGUCCACGAUAUGAGAAAAAACAAAUUGAAAAAGUAGAGUGGAUCCUUCACAGCCCGGAUUCCUCCACAUGAGGAACCAAUUGAAACAAAAAGUAAUUAAGGAGAUGCGUCCUUCAACAGCCCACAAUCCUCCCCCUGAGAAAAAAAGAUUGAAAUAUAAAGUACAUCCUUAAACCGUCCAAAAUCCUGCAAAAGAAAAGAGAAAUUGAAAUAAAAAGUAGAUCCUUCAACAAUCCAACUAAUGCCAUGUCUAAUCUUAGUGGGAAAAAAAUAUUUUCAAUCUAACUAUCUUUUUAAAAAGUUUCCUAACUAAGCUUCAUUUGGAUGGAUAAAGAAAGAAAAAAUAACUAAUCAAUAUUUAUGUAUUAACUGGGGGAGAGAUUUUUUUUUUAUUUUUUUAUUUUUUUUGUCUCCUCCGCUCUCCAAGGCCACCACACUGCUUCUCUCUCUCUCUCUCUAUCUCUCUCUCUCUCUCUCUCCACCCACACACACUCUCUCCUCCCCACAUACUAAUAUUUAAUAAUAACUAAAAAUAAUAUUUAAUAAUAAUAAUAAUAAUAAUAAUAAUAAUAAAUAUUAUUAUUAUUACUAUAUAAUGAUUUAUGAGUGUGAAAUAAGUUUCUACUAAGUUAAAAUUAUAUGACGAGCAGAGCGCGACUCUCGGCUCAGAGUAGCGAGAUGAUCCUCGUAUCGUCUGAUACUUGUAAAUAUACAUUAGUGUGACAAGAGCGUCAAGAUUUAAGAGGAAGAGAAUGUGAUAUACUACGAAUUUGAAAUUGCCAUAUAUAUAUAUAUAUAGGCUAGGGCUACUAGCAGAGAAGAAGCUAUAUGGAGAAGCCCAAGGUGGCCAUGGCCCUCUCAACUUUUCAAUAUUUGUUUAAUGGUUCUUCAAAGUUUUUUUUUUUGGACCAUAGAUAGCUUUGGCCCCCCUCAGCUUUUCAAUAUGUGUUUAAUGGCCCUUCAAAGUUUUUUUUUUUUUUUUUUUAAAUUUUUAUUUAUCUUAGGUGAGCUCUUUUAUUUGACUAAAUCAAUAAUUGCACUAAAUUUAAUAGUUAUGUUAAUUUUAUUUACAAAAAAAUUAAGAAAUUACUAUUAGAUUUAGUAAAAUUUCUAAGUUAUUUUAAUAUAAUAAUAUAAAAAUAAUAAUUAGAAGUUAAACAUACGAAAGUAAAAAACAUAAAGUUCAUUCUUUUAUAUUAUUUAUUUAAUAAAAAAUUUUUAAUUAGAAAAAAAAAAUUGUUUAUUAUUUAUUACUAAAGUUUCUAAUUAAAUAUAUUUUGGCCCUCCUCAAGAUUGAAUUCUAGCUUCGUCCCUGGCUACUAUACUCUUAUGAGUGUAGAACUGUUUAUACUUAUAAAUUUUUAACCAUUGGAUGAAGAGAUGUGCGGUUAGAAUAAUAGUAGUCUCCGAUUAAGAUGAUAGUGAACCCCUAGGAGUGAGUGGGUGGUUGGUUGAAUAGUAUAAUCUAACAGAUAAACGUGGUUAAAAGAGUAGAUCUAACGGCCGAAAAUUUAUGAUUACAAAGAGACCUAUACUCAUAACAGUAUAGUAGCCCGACUCUCUCUCUCUAUAUAUAAGUAUAAUUAAUACAACUAGAGCUUUUAAUUCAAUUAUAAUAUUCUAGCGAUAGUUAAGCCUAAGAGAUUAAGAGAUUUGAAUGAGUCUAAAAUUAGAGUAUAAUUAGAGGUG
RNAcentral lists this long non-coding RNA (35490 nucleotides) under Ananas comosus (pineapple). Its description in RNAcentral is "long non-coding RNA (ACOM_LNC006756)". Lineage: Eukaryota; Viridiplantae; Streptophyta; Magnoliopsida; Poales; Bromeliaceae. The record is from RNAcentral.